AUCUUUCAGGUGUGAAUAUGAAGCCAGCGACAAUUACACCGAUUGUUGUCCUUAGCAGACUUUUUCAAACUGUAAAGAGAAAUUCCGAUAAAUCUACUCCAGGGUGUUGAAUUGCUGCAUGUGAUUGGCUCACCACUUGACGCACUCACUGCAGCAUUUUGAUUGGCUGCUGCUCUAUAAUUGGAUGCAUGUCCGUACAGCAUUGCGGCUCAAAGCAUGGUGUGCGGUGUGUGUUGAAGUGUGUCCCUUCUUACAACUAAAACACUGACCGCCCCCCCCAGAUCAUUUUGGAUCUCCCAGUGUCAUGGUGCAGCCCACAUAAGCAGCCAAACCCUGCACAGAACUGAGGACACGUCCAACGUCAACUACAUCCCUCCGCCACAAGAACACCAGGAUUUCAAACACACCCAGUCAUUCAUGCUUUGAGAAGCUGGCCUUCCUUCCAGGUCAUAUCUCCCUCGUGAUAUGGUGCCAACACUGGAUUUUAGUUUUUCCUCCACACCAGAGGAGACUUGAUCUUCAGACAAUUCUUAAUUUCAGUCUUACUUGGGUGGUUAAUAAAUGGGAGGCCUCUCGUUCUCUUGCUUUGCUGUUCAUUAUGUGGCACUGACCCCCCCCCCCCCCCCCCCAGUGGUGAGAGGUGGAAAUGGGGGACUGGUGAAUAUUGCUUUCUUUUUUCCCCCUCUGCAGGCCAAUCAUGUUCUUUUACCAAAGACUGCCACUAUAAGGGACGUAAUAAUUAUAAGGGA
Molecule: long non-coding RNA, 749 nt
Organism: Thalassophryne amazonica
Lineage: Eukaryota; Metazoa; Chordata; Actinopteri; Batrachoidiformes; Batrachoididae
Exons: 3
Source: RefSeq, a predicted model, not a curated record